CCCUUAACCAAAGGAGCUAGUCCAAGCCAAGACUUCUA
Molecule: transfer RNA, 38 nt
Filed under: Crocodylus niloticus (Nile crocodile)
Lineage: Eukaryota; Metazoa; Chordata; Crocodylia; Crocodylidae
Description: partial tRNA-Arg
Source: RNAcentral